CUGAAUCAGGGUUUAUUUCAAUAGCUCUGUCAGAGUCUCGGAUGGCAGCAUUUGGCUUCUGUAAUUUGACGAAGACACUGGCUCUCUUGGCACACAGAGUGGCCAAGCGAGGGUUUAGCUUGAUGGCAUCUGUGAACAAGUCAAUGGCUUUCUGAAGCUCACCGUCAUUUAGAGUGUCGAUGGCAGCCCCCUUCUUUUCAUUUGCUUCAUUCAUCAUCUCCUCGGUUAUCUCUGCAUUUUUAUCUCCCAUUUCCUGAGGGGCAUCAGUGUCUUGUUCAGUUACAACUUCCUUGUCAACUUCUAGAUCGCUCUCCUCACUUGAUGACUCCUCUGUCUUAUGUUUUCCUCUGUCACUUUGUUUCUUUUUCUUCUUUAGUAUUUUCUUCUGACUUAGCUCUAUGAGUAGCAGGUGGUACUUUACCCACCCAUCUCCACCACGCUCUCCACCCACUCCCUCAGUGUGCAGGACUCUCGGGCCCUGCCUACACAUCUUCAGGAAGGCCAGAAGCUCGCACACUUUGUGGGGAUCCAUAGUGGAGAGGCUGGAAGCUUCAGGCGGUGGGCAGCUGUGGAGGCCUGAUGCCAGGCUCAGGAGCAGCUCAACGUGGCCAAGUAGAAGGGGCCCUGAUUCCCUUCUUAAAGCUGAGCUUUUGUGUGACCUGAAUCUGUUCUGGUCCUUUGCAUUCUGUCGCAGUCUCUGUGAGUUUAUAUAGUUAUCAGUACUUUCCUGUUUGGAGGACACUAUUUUCUUGGCAUUAUCUAUUAUUUCUGGCUUUUGAAACCUUUCUACCUUCUCUUCAACAUAGAUACCUGGGCUUUGAGGAGAAAAACUGAUAAAAACAUGCCAUUUAGUAAUGUAUGCUCUGAUAUCCUCUCACUUUCUGCAUUGUUGUCUAGUGUGACUCUCUGUGUAAAUUCUCAUCUACCCUGAGAAUAAGCUUCUCUUCUGAGUAUUGAAUCACACUCUGAUCUGAGUCCUGGUCUAGGGUGGCAUCUCUGGGUAUCUUAUGUGAAAUUGGUUGAAUGGGGUGGCAGAAUCACAAAGGCAUGGAAAUGGGAUAGAAGGAAAGCUUGAAAGGGCAGAGGGGAACAAAAAGACCCUAUGUGGUGGAGAUUGGCUCAUUCUCCUGUUUCAAUAUGCACAGUGAAUUCUUUAGCCAUAUGUGUCACUUCUUAAAUUAUUUCUUCUCCUUAAUUCCUCCCUUCUUUUUCUUGUGACAUUGUAUCCAUUGUCCAAACUUUAGUUGUCAUAUUAUUUCUCUGUGUUGCUCAAUUCUUAGCUUGAGACAAGUCAGUGUUAUCUGGCAAGAGAGAAAGUCUGUUGAGAAUUUGCCUCCACUAGUCUGGUGGCAAGGCAAAUCUGUGGGGAAUUGACUUGAUUAGUUAAUGUGAAAGAGCCUAGUCCAAUCCAUGUAAUGCCAGUGGGCAGGGUUACAUAAGAAGCAAACUGAGCAAGUCAUGUGCAGGGCCUCAAGAUCUGGAUCCUGCACUUCUGGGAGCCGGCCCCCAGUUAAUUCUGAUUGAUUCUUUCCUGCAAGUUACAGCUAGAGAAAAAAGAACUGGGAUUACACAAACUAUGCUGGGGAUACAAGUCUGAAUUAGCAUGAACAACAUAGAAUAAGUGAGAGACCUCAUCGCAUAACAUCAGAUAAGAGUCUAGGAUGGCAGUCCACUGAGAGACCUCAUCCAGAACCUGACUCAGACAGAUGGAGAGACCCACAGCCAAACAUUGGAUGGAGUUCUUUUGUGGAAGACUUGAGGAAAGGAUUCACGGACUAGGACUCCACAGGAAGAACAACAGAGUUAACUAACCUGCAUCCUUGAGGCUCUCAGAGACUAAACCACCAAUUAAAGGAUGUACACAGGCUGGAACUAGGCCCCUGGCAUAUGGGAGCAUAUGUGCAGCUGUUUUCCUGUGAGUCCCAAACAACUGCAACAGGAGCUAUCCCU
This 1950-nucleotide long non-coding RNA is filed under the name Rattus norvegicus (Norway rat). Its description in RNAcentral is "long non-coding RNA NONRATT021382". The record is from RNAcentral. Lineage: Eukaryota; Metazoa; Chordata; Mammalia; Rodentia; Muridae.